UCAUUAAAUCAGUUAUUGUUUAUUUGAUGGUACCUUUACUACUUGGAUAACCGUGGUAAUUCUAGAGCUAAUACAUGCUAAAAACCCCGACUCAAGAAGGGGUGUAUUUAUUAGAUUCAAACCAGUGUCCCUCGGGACUUUUUGGUGACUCAUAAUAACUUAACGCAGCGCAUGGCCUUCGUGCCGGCGCGGGAUCAUUCAAAUACCUGCCCUAUCAAGUUUCGAUGUGAGGGUAGUGUCCUCACAUGCUUUUGACGGGUAACGGGGAAUUAGGGUUCGACUCCGGAGAGGGAGCCUGAGAAACGGCUACCACAUCCAAGGAAGGCAGCAGGCGCGCAAAUUACCCAAUCCCGAUACGGGGAGGUAGUGACAAGAAAUACCGAUUCAGGAUCUUAUUGGAUCUUGAGAUUGGAAUGAGUACAAUUCAAACCCAUUAACGAGGAACAACUAGAGGGCAAGUCUGGUGCCAGCAGCCGCGGUAAUUCCAGCUCUAGUAGCGUAUAUUAAAAUUGUUGCAGUUAAAACGCUCGUAGUUGAACUUUGGGCUUGGCUGGCUGGUCCGCCUCACCGCGAGCACUGGUCCGGCUGGGCCUUUCCUCUUGGGGAUCCACAUGCCCUUCACUUGGGUGUGUUGGGGAACCAGGACUUUUACUUUGAAAAAAUUAGGGUGUUCAAAGCAGGCAUUUGCUCGAAUACAUUAGCAUGGGAUAAUAGAAUAGGACGUGUGG
Molecule: ribosomal RNA, 728 nt
Filed under: Hesperomyces virescens
Lineage: Eukaryota; Fungi; Ascomycota; Laboulbeniomycetes; Laboulbeniales; Laboulbeniaceae
Description: SSU rRNA
Rfam family: Eukaryotic small subunit ribosomal RNA
Source: RNAcentral